RNAcentral lists this ribosomal RNA (468 nucleotides) under uncultured bacterium. RNAcentral's name for it is "partial 16S ribosomal RNA". It matches the Rfam family "Bacterial small subunit ribosomal RNA", at positions 28 to 507 of the family's 1533-position model. The record is from RNAcentral.
GACGAACGCUGGCGGCGUGCUUAACACAUGCAAGUCGAACGGAAAGGCCCUGCUUUUGUGGGGUGCUCGAGUGGCGAACGGGUGAGUAACACGUGAGUAACCUGCCCUUGACUUUGGGAUAACUUCAGGAAACUGGGGCUAAUACCGGAUAGGAGCUCCUGCUGCAUGGUGGGGGUUGGAAAGUUUCGGCGGUUGGGGAUGGACUCGCGGCUUAUCAGCUUGUUGGUGGGGUAGUGGCUUACCAAGGCUUUGAUGGGUAGCCGGCCUGAGAGGGUGACCGGCAACAUUGGGACUGAGGUACGGCGCAGACGCCUACGGGAGGCAGCAGUGGGGAAUAUUGCACAAUGAGCGGAGACCGGAUGCAGCAACGCCGCGUGCGGGAUGAAGGCCUUCGGGUUGUAGACCGCUUUCGCCUGUGACGAAGCGUGAGUGACGGUAAUGGGUAAAGAAGCACCGGCUAACUACGUG